RNAcentral lists this ribosomal RNA (255 nucleotides) under uncultured bacterium. Its description in RNAcentral is "partial 16S ribosomal RNA". It matches the Rfam family "Bacterial small subunit ribosomal RNA", at positions 524 to 776 of the family's 1533-position model. The record is from RNAcentral.
UACGGAGGGUGCAAGCGUUAUCCGGAUUCACUGGGUUUAAAGGGUGCGUAGGCGGGUAGGUAAGUCAGUGGUGAAAUCUUCGAGCUUAACUCGGAAACUGCCUUUGAUACUAUCUAUCUUGAAUAUUGUGGAGGUAAGCGGAAUAUGUCAUGUAGCGGUGAAAUGCUUAGAUAUGACAUAGAACACCUAAUUGCGAAGGCAGCUUACUACGCAUAUAUUGACGCUGAGGCACGAAAGGCGUGGGGAUCAAACAGG